Molecule: unclassified non-coding RNA, 251 nt
Filed under: Hevea brasiliensis (rubber tree)
Lineage: Eukaryota; Viridiplantae; Streptophyta; Magnoliopsida; Malpighiales; Euphorbiaceae
Source: RNAcentral
GUAAUUUCUUUUUAUUUCUCUCCUCUUAAUCAAAAUUUAAUUUUCUCUUUAGGCCCAUAUGUGCUCGAAAUUCUGGACAUAUAGCUGAUUUGAUUGCUUACACCAAUAUUUAGAAUGCGCCGUAUGUAUAUAUGUUCUUUUGUGGUGGUUAACUUAGCUACUUACUGGAUAUCUUUUAAAAUUGUACAAUGCAUAUUUUCCUUUCAUAUUAAAGUGACAACACAACAAACUCUAAAUAAGAUAUUAUAUGA